GACGAACGCUGGCGGCGUGCCUAAUACAUGCAAGUAGAACGCUGAAGGAGGAGCUUGCUUCUCCGGAUGAGUUGCGCACGGGUGAGUAACGCGUAGGUAACCUGCCUGGUAGCGGGGGAUAACUAUUGGAAACGCUAGCUAAUACCGCAUAAGAGUAGAUGUUGCAUGACAUUUGCUUAAAAGGUGCAAUUGCAUCACUACCAGAUGGACCUGCGUUGGAUUAGGUAGUUGGUGGGGUAACGGCUUACUAAGGCGACGAUUCUUAGUCGACCUGGGAGGGUGGAUGGCCACAAUGGGAAUGGGACACGGCCCAGGCUGCCUAGGGGAGGAAGCAGAGGGAAACCUUCGGCAUGGGGGGAAAUCUGGCCGGAGAACGCCGGGGGGGUGGAGGAAGUUUUCGGGUUCGAAAGAUCUGUUGUAAGGGAAGAAAGAGUGGGGGAGUGGAAAGUUCACACUGUGACGGUAUCUUACCAGAAAGGGACGGCUAACUACGUG
This 495-nucleotide ribosomal RNA is filed under the name uncultured bacterium. RNAcentral's name for it is "partial 16S ribosomal RNA". It matches the Rfam family "Bacterial small subunit ribosomal RNA", at positions 28 to 507 of the family's 1533-position model. The record is from RNAcentral.